This is a small nucleolar RNA of Episyrphus balteatus (marmalade hoverfly), 133 nucleotides long. RefSeq annotates it as small nucleolar RNA psi18S-841/snoR66. The record is from RefSeq and is a predicted model, not a curated record. NCBI's taxonomy places the organism in Eukaryota, Metazoa, Arthropoda, Insecta, Diptera, Syrphidae. The transcript has a single exon.
UGCAGGGGCACUCUGUGUUACAAGAAAAUAUUAAUAUUGUAAAACAAUUUGUAACCUUGCAAGAAGAAAUAUCACAAAAUUUGAUUUGGCUACAUUUUCUUAAGAAGUCAAACAGAAAGUAGUGAAACAUUCU